Molecule: unclassified non-coding RNA, 301 nt
Filed under: fungal sp.
Lineage: Eukaryota; Fungi
Also listed under: 1 other name
Description: partial internal transcribed spacer region
Rfam family: Eukaryotic small subunit ribosomal RNA (bases 1-46)
Source: RNAcentral
AAGUCGUAACAAGGUUUCCGUAGGUGAACCUGCGGAAGGAUCAUCAUCGAAUUCAUAUCCCCCUCCUCAACCGGAGGGGGACCCAUGAUAAACCCUUCUGUGCACCGUAAACCGUUCACUUUGGCAGGCUUUGGUGGUGAGCGUGAGCUCGCCUCCAACCUCGCGUUCCCUCCCUAGGGGUGUUACGCGUGGCGGCCUGCCGGAGUCCCAUUAAAAAACUCGUUUUCGAACACGUCUGAAAAUUUCCUUUGAGAAAUCAAAGAACCGAAAACAACUUUCAACAACGGAUCUCUUGGCUCUC